GCAUCUGUGGUUCAGUGGUAGAAUGCUCGCCUGCCACGCGGGUGGCCCGGGUUCGAUUCCCGGCCGAUGAA
Molecule: transfer RNA, 71 nt
Filed under: Cordylochernes scorpioides
Lineage: Eukaryota; Metazoa; Arthropoda; Arachnida; Pseudoscorpiones; Chernetidae
Description: tRNA-Gly
Rfam family: tRNA
About the family: Transfer RNA (tRNA) molecules are approximately 80 nucleotides in length. Their secondary structure includes four short double-helical elements and three loops (D, anti-codon, and T loops).
Source: RNAcentral